This 429-nucleotide ribosomal RNA is filed under the name Gemmatimonadota bacterium. RNAcentral's name for it is "Gemmatimonadetes bacterium partial 16S ribosomal RNA". It matches the Rfam family "Bacterial small subunit ribosomal RNA", at positions 355 to 776 of the family's 1533-position model. The record is from RNAcentral. Lineage: Bacteria; Pseudomonadati; Gemmatimonadota.
UAGGGAAUCUUCGGCAAUGGACGAAAGUCUGACCGAGCAACGCCGCGUGAGUGAAGAAGGUUUUCGGAUCGUAAAACUCUGUUGUUAGAGAAGAACAAGGACGUUAGUAACUGAACGUCCCCUGACGGUAUCUAACCAGAAAGCCACGGCUAACUACGUGCCAGCAGCCGCGGUAAUACGUAGGUGGCAAGCGUUGUCCGGAUUUAUUGGGCGUAAAGCGAGCGCAGGCGGUUUCUUAAGUCUGAUGUGAAAGCCCCCGGCUCAACCGGGGAGGGUCAUUGGAAACUGGGAGACUUGAGUGCAGAAGAGGAGAGUGGAAUUCCAUGUGUAGCGGUGAAAUGCGUAGAUAUAUGGAGGAACACCAGUGGCGAAGGCGGCUCUCUGGUCUGUAACUGACGCUGAGGCUCGAAAGCGUGGGGAGGAAACAGG